This 302-nucleotide ribosomal RNA is filed under the name uncultured bacterium. Its description in RNAcentral is "partial 16S ribosomal RNA". It matches the Rfam family "Bacterial small subunit ribosomal RNA", at positions 508 to 807 of the family's 1533-position model. The record is from RNAcentral.
GCAGCCGCCACGGUAAUACAGAGGGUGCGAGCGUUAAUCGGAUUUACUGGGCGUAAAGCGUGCGUAGGCGGCUUUUUAAGUCGGAUGUGAAAUCCCUGAGCUUAACUUAGGAAUUGCAUUCGAUACUGGGAAGCUAGAGUAUGGGAGAGGAUGGUAGAAUUCCAGGUGUAGCGGUGAAAUGCGUAGAGAUCUGGAGGAAUACCGAUGGCGAAGGCAGCCAUCUGGCCUAAUACUGACGCUGAGGUACGAAAGCAUGGGGAGCAAACAGGAUUAGAUACCCCCGUAGUCCCUGUCUCUUAUAC